AUUUUACAAAGCCUUCAUGACAUGUCAACAAGUGCAUUACGUUGUCUGGGUUUUGCUUACAAAGGGGACCUGGCAGCAUUUGAAACAUAUAAUGGUGAUGAGGACCAUCCAGCCCAUGAGCUUUUACUUAACCCGUCUAAUUAUUCUUCUAUUGAGAGUGAACUCAUUUUUGUUGGUUUAGUUGGGCUAAGGGAUCCCCCUCGGAAAGAGGUACGUCAAGCAAUUGAGGACUGCAAAGCAGCUGGAAUCCGUGUUAUGGUCAUUACAGGUGACAACAAAAAUACAGC
This 287-nucleotide unclassified non-coding RNA is filed under the name Hevea brasiliensis (rubber tree). Lineage: Eukaryota; Viridiplantae; Streptophyta; Magnoliopsida; Malpighiales; Euphorbiaceae. The record is from RNAcentral.